GCGCUGGUAGCUCAGUUGGAUAGAGCGUCUGGCUACGGACCAGAAGGUCAUGGGUUCGAAUCCUCUUCAGCGCGCCA
Molecule: transfer RNA, 77 nt
Filed under: Clostridia bacterium
Lineage: Bacteria; Bacillati; Bacillota; Clostridia
Also listed under: 1 other name
Description: tRNA-Arg
Rfam family: tRNA
About the family: Transfer RNA (tRNA) molecules are approximately 80 nucleotides in length. Their secondary structure includes four short double-helical elements and three loops (D, anti-codon, and T loops).
Source: RNAcentral